Molecule: ribosomal RNA, 426 nt
Filed under: [Eubacterium] brachy
Lineage: Bacteria; Bacillati; Bacillota; Clostridia; Peptostreptococcales; Anaerovoracaceae
Description: bacterial SSU rRNA
Rfam family: Bacterial small subunit ribosomal RNA
Source: RNAcentral
GAUGAACGCUGGCGGCGUGCUUAACACAUGCAAGUCGAGCGAGAAGUUUUGAAAAGAUUCUUCGGAUGAAAUUUAAAAUGGAAAGCGGCGGACGGGUGAGUAACGCGUAGGCAACCUGCCCCAUACAAAGGGAUAGCAUUUGGAAACGAAUAUUAAUACCUUAUGAAACUUAACUAGUGCAUGCUAGGUAGGUCAAAGAUUUAUCGGUAUGGGACGGGCCUGCGUCUGAUUAGCUAGUUGGUGAGGUAACGGCUCACCAAGGCGACGAUCAGUAGCCGACCUGAGAGGGUGAACGGCCACAUUGGAACUGAGACACGGUCCAAACUCCUACGGGAGGCAGCAGUGGGGAAUAUUGCACAAUGGGGGAAACCCUGAUGCAGCAACGCCGCGUGAACGAUGAAGGCCUUUGGGUCGUAAAGUUCUGUU